Molecule: long non-coding RNA, 1083 nt
Filed under: Equus asinus (donkey)
Lineage: Eukaryota; Metazoa; Chordata; Mammalia; Perissodactyla; Equidae
Description: lncRNA (ENSEASG00005024936.1)
Source: RNAcentral
GAUGCAGAAUGUUAAACAUUAAUAUCCAGUCUUCACGUAGGUUUGCAUUUUAUUUUCCAUGAGCGUGGUAUACUGUCUAUGGCCACCUGGGGGCAGUGCCGCGCUGCCGCUUCCUCCCAGCCAGGUUGCGGGUCCCGCGGGGAAUCCGGGUUUACGCCGAACCCGGCCGGGUCCCCAGCCUGCGGAUUCUCCAGCCCUGCCUCAGGUCACCUUUGCAGCCCAGGUGGCCUCACGGGCUGGCUCCUGCCCCCGCGAUGUGAGAACCACGAGUCCAGGGAGGAGAAUCAUUGAACGUUGUUACAGGUCAUUUGCAAGUGUGGGCUCCGUCAAUCAUAACUGUUAUGCGCAUCUUACAGAGGGAGAAACUCACGCUCAGAGAGGCUAAGUAACUUGUUUCAGUUGUCCCAGGCAGAGCCAGCAUGCCCCAGCCUCCCAAGACCCAGUGUUCUUCUUUGUAGAUGUGAUUAAAUUAAGGGCCUUGAAAUGGGGAGAGUAUCUUGGAUUAUCCAGGUGGGCCCAAUGUAAUCACAAGGGUCCUUAUAAGAGGAAGGCAGGAAUUAGAGAAGAUGUGAAGAUAGAAGCAGAGUUUGGAGUGGUGCAGCCACAAGCCAAGGAAUGCGGCCAGCCUCUGGAAGCUGCAAAAGUUCUCUUUUGUUACCCCAAACUCUUCAAUAAAAUCUGAACAGUUUUGUGUGAUGGUUGAAGGAGGUGAUUAAGGACCAAGCAAAAACCAAGAAUGAUCUAACCUACGUCUCCUUGCUGAGGCCACCCAGGGCACCUGCCUUCCUAAAGCUACUAGAAGGAUGCUGACUCCUCCUUCAGAGCUUAAGUGUCAUUUCUUCAGAGAAGCCUUCCUGACCAGCUGGACCGCUAGCACAGCAUAGCAUGGCUGCUAACAGAGCGGCGUGGGUCCGCGUCUGGGAACCGAACCAGGUUGCUGAAAUGGAGCACCGUUGAACUUAACCUCUAGGCCACCGGGGCUGGCCCAGUUAUCAUUCCUUUUAUUUCUCUUUCUUCUUUAUACCUUUCCCUAUUUGUCCAUUCAUUCCACGGGUGUUUAUUAAGCAUUUACUGCAUGCCAGG